AGUGAACGCUGGCGGUAGGCCUAACACAUGCAAGUCGAACGGCAGCACAGUAAGAGCUUGCUCUUACGGGUGGGGAGUGGCGGACGGGUGAGGAAUACAUCGGAAUCUACUUUUUCGUGGGGGAUAACGUAGGGAAACUUACGCUAAUACCUCAUACGACCUACGGGGGAAAGCAGGGGAUCUUCGGACCUUGCGCGAUUGAAUGAGCCGAUGUCGGAUUAGCUAGUUGGCGGGGUAAAGGCCCACCAAGGCGACGAUCCGUAGCUGGUCUGAGAGGAUGAGCAGCCACACUGGAACGGAGACACGGCCCCGACUCCUACGGGAGGAAGCAGUGGGGAAUAUUGGACAAUGGGGGCAAGCCUGAUCCAGCAAUACCGCGUGGGUGAAGAAGGCCUUCGGGUUGUAAAGCCCUUUUGUUGGGAAAGAAAAGCAGCAGUUUAAUACCCCGCUGUUCUGACGGUACCCAAAGAAUAAGCACCGGCUAACUUCGUG
This 492-nucleotide ribosomal RNA is filed under the name uncultured bacterium. Its description in RNAcentral is "partial 16S ribosomal RNA". It matches the Rfam family "Bacterial small subunit ribosomal RNA", at positions 29 to 507 of the family's 1533-position model. The record is from RNAcentral.